This is a long non-coding RNA of Spinacia oleracea (spinach), 1019 nucleotides long. RefSeq lists it as uncharacterized. NCBI's taxonomy places the organism in Eukaryota, Viridiplantae, Streptophyta, Magnoliopsida, Caryophyllales, Amaranthaceae. The record is from RefSeq and is a predicted model, not a curated record. The transcript is spliced from 5 exons.
AAUUCUAAAAUCAGAGAAGCAUUCGUUUUCUCUCUCCCCGAUUCUUCUCCCUCUUCCUCUUCACUUCAUUUUCUCUCUCCUCUGUCGUCGUCGUCGCUUCUUCACCGCUGGAGAUCGAUCUCCCCUACCUCCGUUGAUCUCUACCCUCUUCCAGAUCAGACUAAUUCAGGUAGUUUGGAUCACUGGAGCCAGCCGCGGAAUCGGCUGAGAUCACUUGGGCUUUCACUGUAUUGGGAUACUUGGGGAAGCUUAUAAUGGGAAUUUUAGGGAGGAAACGGCCUCCAUGUUUACUGGUUCAGUAAUAGAAUUGAAGACGUGCAAUGCUGCUUUGCUUGAAGGCACUGGAAAAUCCUGGGAAGAGGGGAUUUCGUGCCUCACAUUCCUGGCUAACUGAAGUGUAAAAGAUGAUGGAAGAGGAUUGGCCAUUAUUUGAGUGUAUAAGAUGGACAGGAAAAUAAGUUUGUCCCAUGUUUGUUUGUUUGAACCUUAACUGUUUAAAAGAAAUUACGAGUUUAAUGGGGAAGGAUUCUAUAUGACCUGGUGGAAUAUGCUGAUCCUGUGCUACUGAUAUAUUUGUCUGCAAUUGCAUACCUUAUGAUCCGUAAAAACAGGUAGAAUACCCAGCUCCUGGCAAUAACAAGGCAUGAAGAUCAACAAAUUCCUGGAGAAGACAUAGUUAACAUGCAACUGCCUCAAAGAAGGACAAAUGCAGACGAUAUUGAGUAAUUGGUAUUCAACAAUCCGAGGGAGAAGCCUUUUACCACUGAGUAGAUAAAUGAAGUUCGAGAAAAGUUGGCAAAGUUCAUUACCAUUUAUUGUCUUUGAUAUUUUCUUGUAGUGAAUCUUAGAUUAUGGAUGCUAGUUUUUCAUAGGAUUGUCAUGUAAUCAAUUUUUAUAUUAUAAUUGGAUAUUUUUUUUAUGUGAUGUAUGGAGGUUAACUAGUGGGCGUGGUCUAAUUGUAUAAUAUAUGUAGCAGGGAUAUCAGUUAUAUAACAAAUUUCUAGAUCAAUUGCGGCUCA